GAUGAACGCUGGCGGCGUGCCUAAUACAUGCAAGUCGAGCGAACGGACGAGAAUCUUGCUUCUCUGAUGUUAGCGGCGGACGUGUGAGUAACACGUGGAUAACCUACCUAUAAUACUUGGAUAACUUCGGGAAACCGGAGCUAAUACCGGAUAAUAUUUUGAACCGCAUGGUUCAAAAGUGAAAGACGGUCUUGCUGUCUCUUAUAGAUGGAUCCGCGCUGCAUUAGCUAGUUGGUAAGGUAACGGCUUACCAAGGCAACGAUGCAUAGCCGACCUGAGAGGGGGAUCGGCCAAACUGGAACUGAGACACGGUCAAGACUACUACGGGAGGCAGCAGUAGGGAAUAUUCCGCAAUGGGCGAAAGCAUGACGGAGCAAAGCCGCGUGAGUGAUGAAGGUAUAGGGAUCGUAAAACUCUGUUAUUAGGGAAGAAAAUAUGUGUAAGUAAAUGUGCACAGCGUGACGGUAACUAAUCAGAAAGCAACGGCUAACUACGUG
Molecule: ribosomal RNA, 497 nt
Filed under: uncultured bacterium
Lineage: Bacteria
Description: partial 16S ribosomal RNA
Rfam family: Bacterial small subunit ribosomal RNA
Source: RNAcentral